CAUUGAGUCGGAUAAUCCGCGACUUAGGAGAAUCACUGGAACGAUACAGCUGGGGCGAAGUAUAAAGUAUUCCAUGGAUGCAUGGGCCAUUAUUUUCAUAUUUUCCCAAUGGGCAUUGAAGCGCUUGGAACUUGAAGUGAACAGAGGACUGGAAGUGGGGCAGAGGAGACGCAGUUGUAUUUUAGCUCCAGGUCCAGAUAAGCAGUGAAACGGGACAAGAGGUGC
Molecule: non-coding RNA, 225 nt
Organism: Miniopterus natalensis
Lineage: Eukaryota; Metazoa; Chordata; Mammalia; Chiroptera; Miniopteridae
Source: RefSeq, a predicted model, not a curated record